Molecule: long non-coding RNA, 282 nt
Filed under: Bos taurus (domestic cattle)
Lineage: Eukaryota; Metazoa; Chordata; Mammalia; Artiodactyla; Bovidae
Description: long non-coding RNA NONBTAT015477
Source: RNAcentral
GAAAUUUGAGUAUUGAUGCUUGGUUCCUGUCUCUCCUUUUCUAUCACUUUUUAUUUCUUCCACUGAUAAAGUUAAAUACAUAGAAACAAACGUUGACAGUCACACAAAUACUUAGGUUAAGUUCUUUUAAACAGAUGGUACAGUAUGAAAGAAGCUUCUUGGCAGUUUCAGUUGCAGAGAAUAGAUUAGAACUGGCUUGUGGGGGGAUUUAUAUCCAGUCUUUGAGAAUCCCUCUUAAUUGCUUUAAAUUGAUUAUUUAAAAUAAUCUUCUUUAAUUGAAAC